GCCAUUGUUCUUGCCUUCAAGGUUUGGCAUGAUAAGGCUGUGUGGAACAUAUACUUCUGCCAGAUCCUCAAGAACCUUGCACUCCAAGACAUAAAUCAACUGGAAAGGCAUUACUUGUGUCUGCUUGAGUUUAAUGUUAAUGUGUCUGCCAGCAUUUAUGCCAAAUACUACUUUGAUCUUCGCUCUUUAGCAGAUCACAGCAACAUGUAUUUUGUGCCUGCACCUCUCACCAAAGAAAGAGCACAGAAACUAGAAGCGAUGUCAAGAUACUGUGAGGAUGGAGGCUUGCACAGAAGUGAAAUCAGAAAAGCUUCCAGUGAUGACAGCUUCACUGGAAUUCAACUGUCUAAAGCCAUCCUGUCUUAAAAGAGAGAGAUGAGGGCUAUGACAUCGUAGACCCUCGUUUACACAAGAUGGACCACCUGUCUUUGAAAAAAAAAAAUCCAAAGUGAACAUAUUUGCCAAAAGGAAAGACCUUGAAUUUCAGAAACUGUUGGACAGUUAUAGUUGUAUUGCAUGGGAAGAGACCUUGUGAAAGCAACAACACACUUCCUUUCUUCAUUGAUGUGAGCAGAGUUACUAGUACCACAAAGCAGAAGCUCCUGGCUGACACAACCAUUCGCUUACUUCACAGGCCAAUGCCUGUGAACUCU
RNAcentral lists this long non-coding RNA (653 nucleotides) under Cavia porcellus (domestic guinea pig). RNAcentral's name for it is "lncRNA (ENSCPOG00000033193.1)". The record is from RNAcentral. Lineage: Eukaryota; Metazoa; Chordata; Mammalia; Rodentia; Caviidae.